UAGGGAAUCUUCCGCAAUGGGCGAAAGCCUGACGGAGCAACGCCGCGUGAGUGAUGAAGGUCUUCGGAUCGUAAAACUCUGUUAUUAGGGAAGAACAAAUGUGUAAGUAACUAUGCACGUCUUGACGGUACCUAAUCAGAAAGCCACGGCUAACUACGUGCCAGCAGCCGCGGUAAUACGUAGGUGGCAAGCGUUAUCCGGAAUUAUUGGGCGUAAAGCGCGCGUAGGCGGUUUUUUAAGUCUGAUGUGAAAGCCCACGGCUCAACCGUGGAGGGUCAUUGGGAACUGGAAAACUUGAGUGCAGAAGAGGAAAGUGGAAUUCCAUGUGUAGCGGUGAAAUGCGCAGAGAUAUGGAGGAACACCAGUGGCGAAGGCGACUUUCUGGUCUGUAACUGACGCUGAUGUGCGAAAGCGUGGGGAUCAAACAGG
This 429-nucleotide ribosomal RNA is filed under the name Actinomycetes bacterium. RNAcentral's name for it is "Actinobacteria bacterium partial 16S ribosomal RNA". It matches the Rfam family "Bacterial small subunit ribosomal RNA", at positions 355 to 776 of the family's 1533-position model. The record is from RNAcentral. RNAcentral also lists the same sequence under 1 other name. Lineage: Bacteria; Bacillati; Actinomycetota; Actinomycetes.